This 30-nucleotide non-coding RNA is filed under the name Rattus norvegicus (Norway rat). Lineage: Eukaryota; Metazoa; Chordata; Mammalia; Rodentia; Muridae. The record is from RNAcentral.
UUGCCUUGUACCUUCAUGGUUGCUUUGUGU